Molecule: ribosomal RNA, 497 nt
Filed under: uncultured bacterium
Lineage: Bacteria
Description: partial 16S ribosomal RNA
Rfam family: Bacterial small subunit ribosomal RNA
Source: RNAcentral
GAUGAACGCUGGCGGCGUGCCUAAUACAUGCAAGUCGAGCGAACGGACGAGAAGCUCGCUUCCCUGAUGUUAGCGGCGGACGGGCGAGUAACACGUGGAUAACCUACCUAUAAGACUGGGAUAACUUCGGGAAACCGGAGCUAAUACCGGAUGAUAUUUUGAACCGCAUGGUUCAAAAGUGAAAGACGGUCUUGCCGUCACUUAUAGAUGGAUCCGCGCUGCAUUAGCUAGUUGGUAAGGUAACGGCUUACCAAGGCAACGAUGCAUAGCCGACCUGAGAGGGUGAUCGGCCACACUGGAACUGAGACACGGUCCAGACUCCUACGGGAGGCAGCAGUAGGGAAUCUUCCGCAAUGGGCGAAAGCCUGACGGAGCGACGCCGCGUGAGUGAUGAAGGUCUUCGGAUCGUAAAACUCUGUUAUUAGGGAAGAACAUAUGUGUAAGUAACUGUGCACAUCUUGACGGUACCUAAUCAGAAAGCCACGGCUAACUACGUG